This 215-nucleotide unclassified non-coding RNA is filed under the name uncultured bacterium. RNAcentral's name for it is "contains 16S-23S intergenic spacer region". The record is from RNAcentral.
UCCGGAGUUUCUCCGGCAGUCCCCCAUGAGUGCUCGGCACUACCCGGUGGCAACAUAGGGCGGGGGUUGCGCUCGUUGCGGGACUUAACCCAACACCUCACGGCACGAGCUGACGACAGCCAUGCAACACCUGUGUUCCGGUUCCCGAAGGCACCCCCGCAUCUCUGCAGGGUUCCGGACAUGUCAAGGGCAGGUAAGGUUCUUCGCGUUGCAUC